This 238-nucleotide long non-coding RNA is filed under the name Brassica napus (rape). RNAcentral describes it as "long non-coding RNA (BNAP_LNC019980)". Lineage: Eukaryota; Viridiplantae; Streptophyta; Magnoliopsida; Brassicales; Brassicaceae. The record is from RNAcentral.
CAAAGUAUACUAAAAGCCUAGGAGAGUUGUCUCGGGCAUUUCAUCAAACACCUUUUGGGUGGGAAAUGCCUAUUGAUUAACUUUUGAGUGGCCAACUCAGAAGAUGCAUUAUGAAUACUCUACUAGCAAGGAACAAGAAUGAUCUACACUAAAACAUCCUAGAACUAACCUAAUCACCCUUAAUAUCCCUAACCCAUGAAUUCAAAAAGUAAUUACUCACUAAUCUCCAUGAUUCCUC